This 438-nucleotide long non-coding RNA is filed under the name Phoenix dactylifera (date palm). RNAcentral's name for it is "long non-coding RNA (PDAC_LNC021700)". Lineage: Eukaryota; Viridiplantae; Streptophyta; Magnoliopsida; Arecales; Arecaceae. The record is from RNAcentral.
UUAGGGUUCUGGAGCCUUUAAUGGGAAGGCUCCUCUAUGUUUCCUAUAUAUAGGCUAGGUCCCCCUCUCCUCUCCAUAUGGUUGAUAGCUUGCCCCAUUGACGGUUAUCUUUUGUGAGGAGCAAGGAAGGGAAGAUCCAGCCGCUAUUAUUCCAGGUGAUUGAAGAACGUAUUCAAUAUGUCUUCCGCAGGUAUAUCCCUUAAACUUGAAUACAGUAUUAUUUGUGAUUCUAAAUCUUAGCAUGUUAUUAUUUAUGACUAACAAUUGGUAUCAGAGCCUUCAUGCUAGGAUUAGAAUCCUUCAUAUACACUUAUUAUUUUAUCUAGAUUUAUGGAUUUUAUGUAUUGCUGAAUGGAUCUUCUGCAUAAAUGGAUCUUCCAUUGAUAAUCAAGUAUAUGGUUUGAUUUUAAUAAUGAUUUGAAUGAAAUAUGAUUGAAU